CACAUACUCCCUCCGUUCAAAAAUAUUUGUUGAAGAUAUGGAUGUAUCUAGACAUAUUUAGUUCUAGAUACAUCCAUUUUAUCAAUUUUCUGACAAGUAUUUCCGGACGGAGGGAGUAUAUG
This is a non-coding RNA of Triticum aestivum (bread wheat), 122 nucleotides long. The record is from Rfam. Lineage: Eukaryota; Viridiplantae; Streptophyta; Magnoliopsida; Poales; Poaceae.